UACGGAGGAGGCAAGCGUUAUCCGGAAUUAUUGGGCGUAAAGCGUCCGUAGGUGGUUUGGUAAGUCUGCUGUUAAAGCGCGGGGCUUAACUCCGUAUCGGCAGUGGAAACUACUAGACUAGAGUGUGGUAGGGGUAGAGGGAAUUCCCAGUGUAGCGGUGAAAUGCGUAGAUAUUGGGAAGAACACCGGUGGCGAAGGCGCUCUACUGGGACGUAACUGACACUGAUGGACGAAAGCUAGGGGAGCGAAAGGG
This 253-nucleotide ribosomal RNA is filed under the name uncultured bacterium. RNAcentral's name for it is "partial 16S ribosomal RNA". It matches the Rfam family "Bacterial small subunit ribosomal RNA", at positions 524 to 776 of the family's 1533-position model. The record is from RNAcentral.